GUGCUCACUUUGGCAGCACAUAUACUAAAAUUGAAACAAUACAGAGAAGAUUAGCAUGGCCCCUGCACAAGGAUGAUACACAAAUUCGUGAAGCUUUCCAUGUUUUG
Small nuclear RNA from Heterocephalus glaber (naked mole-rat), 107 nucleotides. The record is from Ensembl. Lineage: Eukaryota; Metazoa; Chordata; Mammalia; Rodentia; Bathyergidae.